UUUUGAUGAUAAUAUUUUAGGAGGUAACGUUCGUCGCGGACAUGCCAGCAAAUCUGCUCACGCUCCGAGACAUGACAGAAGAUUUCGAGCUGACUGGCUUCACAGAGCAGGAUAAGCUGCGGGAGGUGCAGAAGUAUGCUGCGUUCUUGAAGAAAAUUCUAGAGAGGCAAUCCCAUUUGGCCGGGACGUGCGAAGUCAUCAUUUACAGAGAUGAAGUCGUGGGAGUUGCUGACAUCCUGCAGACAUCAUAUAAAUAAUUAAGUUAAAUAAAAUUAUUUCUGAGCUGUAUGAGCAGAAGAAGCAUGAAUUCUAUGUCACCUUUAUUUUCUUAACGUGUGGGGUCGAGGGGCCCGCCGUAGGGGCCCUGGCGGGAUUACAGGGGCAGAGGCCCUUACCGGGGGAGCAGGGGGCGAAGCGCACGGAAGCUCUUGGAUUUGAGCAAUUUAGAACCUUCAAGAUGGCAGUUUUUGAGGAAUAAAAUAGUAAAACUUUUCCUAGGUUUGUGACGUUCCCCAUUGUUUUAUUAUGUUAGAAAUAUAUAUAUACGUCUCUCUCACAAACUCAAUUGUAUAGAAUUAAGGUUUUUCACGUGAACCACUUAUUUUUUUACAAUAAAAGCAGUAAAAAACAACCG
Priapulus caudatus is the source of this 634-nucleotide long non-coding RNA. RefSeq lists it as uncharacterized. NCBI's taxonomy places the organism in Eukaryota, Metazoa, Priapulida, Priapulimorpha, Priapulimorphida, Priapulidae. The record is from RefSeq and is a predicted model, not a curated record. The transcript is spliced from 2 exons.